AUUAAAUAGAUCAAAAAUUAGAAUUUAAACUUGACAUGUUUAAUAAACAGAUAAUUCGACCAGACUCUUUUAACCUGUUUAUUAAAUGGGUAAUCUGUUAACACAAUCCGACUUAAUCUAUUUAAAAUAUAAUCUAUUAGCCCAACCCAACACAAUCUGAUCCAACCUAUUUAAUUUAUUUAAAAUAAAAUCUAUUUGCCCUAUCCA
RNAcentral lists this long non-coding RNA (207 nucleotides) under Elaeis guineensis (African oil palm). RNAcentral's name for it is "long non-coding RNA (EGUI_LNC034915)". The record is from RNAcentral. Lineage: Eukaryota; Viridiplantae; Streptophyta; Magnoliopsida; Arecales; Arecaceae.